GGCAUCAGGGUUCGAUUCCGGAGAGGGAGCCUGAGAAACGGCUACCACAUCUAAGGAAGGCAGCAGGCGCGCAAAUUACCCAAUCCAGACAUUGGGAGGUAGUGACGAGAAAUACCAAAGUGUGCCUUUUGGUUCACUAUUGGAAUGAACGUAACACAGUACCUUCGAUGAGUACCAACUGGAGGGCAAGUCUGGUGCCAGCAGCCGCGGUAAUUCCAGCUCCAGUAGUGUAUAUCAAAAUUGUUGCGGUUAAAACGCUCGUAGUUGGAUUACAAAAGUCGGGCGUCAGCUUAGUACUUACUUGGUUGACGUCGGGCUUUUUUAUCGCAAGAACCACUCGUGCAUUUCAAACUGUGCGGGUGACCACUUGCGGAGCGUGCCUUGAAUAAAGCACAGUGCUCAAAGCAAGCGUAACGCUCGAAUGUUUAAGCAUGGAACGAAUAUCCCUGACAGGGUUCAGUUGUUGGUUAUCUGAGCCGGGUCAUGAUUAAAAGGGACAUUUGAGGGCGUUAGUACUUGGCGGCGAGAGGUGAAAUUCUUAGACCCGUCAAAGACUCACUAAUGCGAAAGCAUUCGCCAAGAGUGUUUUCAUUGAUCAAGAACGAAAGUUAGAGGUUCGAAGACGAUCAGAUACCGUCCUAGUUCUAUACAGUAAACUAUGCCACCACGGGAUCAGUCCGGGGAACUGCAUCCAGGUUGGUCCCUCAAGGAAACUCCAAGAUUUCGGGUUCCUGGGGGAGUACGGGCUCAAGUCUGAAACUUAAAGGAAUUGACGGAAGGGCACCACCAGGAGUGGAGCCUGCGGCUUAAUUUGACUCAACACGGGACAACUCACCAGGUCCAGACAUUGAAAGGAUUGACAGACUGAUAGAUCUUUCAAGAUCCAAUGAUUGGUGGUGCAUGGCCGUUCUUAGUUGGUGGAGCGAUCUGUCAGGUCUAUUCCGGUAACGAGCGAGACCACGAUCUCUAGUUGAUUACGGCUUCUUUGGAGUGGCUGAUCCUAGAGAGACAACCGGAAUACAAGCCGGGGGAAGCGUGGCAAUAACAGGUCUGUGAUGCCCUUCGAUGUUCUGGGCCGCACGCGCGCUACAAUGGCAGCGACAACAAGUUUCUCUUCCGAGAGGAGUGGGAAAUCUUACCAAUCGCUGUCGUGAUUGGGAUUGAGCCUUGUAAUAAUUGCUCAUGAAAGAGGAAUUCCUCGUAAGCGCGAGUCACCAACUCGUGUUGAAUACGUCUCUGCCCUUUGUACACACCGCCCGUCGCUACUACCGAUUGAAUGACUUUUCGAGAUGCCGGGAUUGGGCGUCGCAAGACGCUCAAGAGCU
Molecule: ribosomal RNA, 1325 nt
Filed under: Ellipsomyxa sp. NKS MBTD CMFRI 2
Lineage: Eukaryota; Metazoa; Cnidaria; Myxozoa; Bivalvulida; Ceratomyxidae
Description: SSU rRNA
Rfam family: Eukaryotic small subunit ribosomal RNA
Source: RNAcentral